This 815-nucleotide ribosomal RNA is filed under the name uncultured bacterium. Its description in RNAcentral is "bacterial SSU rRNA". It matches the Rfam family "Bacterial small subunit ribosomal RNA", at positions 8 to 796 of the family's 1533-position model. The record is from RNAcentral.
AGAGUUUGAUCCUGGCUCAGAACGAACGCUGGCGGCGUGGAUAAGACGUGCAAGUCGAGCGCUAAUCACAAGGUAGCAAUAUUUUGUGGUUGGAGCGGCGCAAGGGUGCGUAACACGUGGGUAAUCUGCCAUGAAGUUUGGGAUAACUUGCUGAAAGGCGAGCUAAUACCGGAUGUGAAAAUUGGGAGGCAUCUUUCGAUUGUCAAAGCUGGGGACCGUAAGGCCUGGCGCUUCAUGAUGAGCCCGCGGCCUAUCAGCUAGUUGGUGAGGUAACGGCUCACCAAGGCUAAGACGGGUAGCUGGUCUGAGAGGACGACCAGCCACACUGGAACUGAGACACGGUCCAGACACCUACGGGUGGCAGCAGUCGAGAAUUUUUCACAAUGGGCGCAAGCCUGAUGGAGCGACGCCGCGUGGGGGAUGAAUGGCUUCGGCCCGUAAACCCCUGUCAUUUGCGAACAAGUUGGUUCAAUUAACACCUGAACCAUUGAUAGUAGCGAAAGAGGAAGGGACGGCUAACUCUGUGCCAGCAGCCGCGGUAAUACAGAGGUCCCAAGCGUUGUUCGGAUUCACUGGGCGUAAAGGGUGCGUAGGUGGCGGGGUAAGUCGGAUGUGAAAUCUCCGAGCUCAACUCGGAAAUGGCAUUGGAAACUACCUUGCUCGAGGGUUGGAGGGGGGACUGGAAUACUUGGUGUAGCAGUGAAAUGCGUAGAUAUCAAGUGGAACACCAGUGGCGAAGGCGAGUCCCUGGACAACUCCUGACACUGAGGCACGAAAGCUAGGGGAGCAAACAGGAUUAGAUACCCUAGUAGUCC